UACAGAGGGUGCAAGCGUUAAUCGGAAUCACUGGGCGUAAAGAGCGCGUAGGUUGAUAAUUAAGUUGGAUGUGAAAGCCCCGGGCUCAACCUGGGAUGGUCAUUCAAGACUGGUUAUCUAGAGUAUGGUAGAGGGAAGUGGAAUUUCCGGUGUAGCGGUGAAAUGCGUAGAUAUCGGAAGGAACACCAGUGGCGAAGGCGGCUUCCUGGACCAAUACUGACACUGAGGCGCGAAAGCGUGGGGAGCGAAAGGG
RNAcentral lists this ribosomal RNA (253 nucleotides) under uncultured bacterium. RNAcentral's name for it is "partial 16S ribosomal RNA". It matches the Rfam family "Bacterial small subunit ribosomal RNA", at positions 524 to 776 of the family's 1533-position model. The record is from RNAcentral.